RNAcentral lists this transfer RNA (45 nucleotides) under Meliosma cornejoi. Its description in RNAcentral is "partial tRNA-Phe". Lineage: Eukaryota; Viridiplantae; Streptophyta; Magnoliopsida; Proteales; Sabiaceae. The record is from RNAcentral.
GUCGGGAUAGCUCAGCUGGUAGAGCAGAGGACUGAAAAUCUCGUG